GACGAACGCUGGCGGCGUGCCUAAUACAUGCAAGUUGAGCGCACAGGCGUGGUACUUGUACCAACUGGAUGAGCAGCGAACGGGUGAGUAACGCGUGGGUAAUCUGCCUAUGAGCGGGGGACAACAUUGGGAAACGAAUGCUAAUACCACAUAAAAACUUUAAACACAAGUCUUAAGAUUGAAAGAUGCAAUUGCAUCACUCAAUGGUGAUCCCGCGUUGUAUUAGCGUGUUGGUGAGGUAAAGGCUCACCAAGGCGAUGAUACAUAGCCGACCUGAGAGGGGGAUCGGCAACAUGGGACCUGAGAAACGGUCCAGACUCCUACGGGAGGAAGCGGUAGGGAAUCUUCCGAAAUGGGCGAAAGCCUGACGGAGCAAGGCGGCGUGAGUGAUGAGGGUCUUCGGAUCGUAAAACUCUGUUAUUAGGAAAGAACAAACGUGUAAGUAACUGUGCACGGCGUGACGGUACCUAAUCAGAAAGCCACGGCUAACUACGUG
RNAcentral lists this ribosomal RNA (496 nucleotides) under uncultured bacterium. RNAcentral describes it as "partial 16S ribosomal RNA". It matches the Rfam family "Bacterial small subunit ribosomal RNA", at positions 28 to 507 of the family's 1533-position model. The record is from RNAcentral.